GAAUUCGCCCUUAGAGUUUGCUUCUGGCUCAGGACGAACGCUGGCGGCGUGCCUAACACAUGCAAGUCGAACGAAGCAUUUGGAUCUGAUCUCUUCGGAGUGACGAACCUUAUGACUUAGUGGCGGACGGGUGAGUAACACGUGAGCAACCUGCCUCUCAGAGUGGAAUAACAGUUGGAAACGGCUGCUAAUACCGCAUAACGUCAUAGUACCGCAUGAUACCUUGACCAAAGAUUUAUCGCUGAGAGAUGGGCUCGCGUCCGAUUAGGUAGAUGGUGGGGUAACGGCCUACCAUGCCGACGAUCGGUAGCCGGACUGAGAGGUUGAUCGGCCACAUUGGGACUGAGACACGGCCCAGACUCCUACGGGAGGCAGCAGUGGGGGAUAUUGCACAAUGGGCGCAAGCCUGAUGCAGCAACGCCGCGUGAGGGAAGAAGGUCUUCGGAUUGUAAACCUUUGUUUUUAGUGAAGAAAAAAAUGACGGUAGCUAAAGAGGAAGCCACGGCUAACUACGUGCCAGCAGCCGCGGUAAUACGUAGGUGGCAAGCGUUGUCCGGAAUCACUGGGUGUAAAGGGUGCGUAGGCGGGACAGCAAGUUGGAUGUGAAAUACCGAGGCUUAACCUCGGGGCUGCAUCCAAAACUGUUGUUCUUGAGUGAAGUAGAGGUAGGCGGAAUUCCGAGUGUAGCGGUGAAAUGCGUAGAUAUUCGGAGGAACACCAGUGGCGAAGGCGGCCUACUGGGCUUUAACUGACGCUGAGGCUCGAAAGUGUGGGGAGCAAACAGGAUUAGAUACCCUGGUAGUCCACACUGUAAACGAUG
RNAcentral lists this ribosomal RNA (820 nucleotides) under uncultured bacterium. RNAcentral's name for it is "bacterial SSU rRNA". It matches the Rfam family "Bacterial small subunit ribosomal RNA", at positions 1 to 811 of the family's 1533-position model. The record is from RNAcentral.